RNAcentral lists this ribosomal RNA (440 nucleotides) under uncultured bacterium. RNAcentral describes it as "partial 16S ribosomal RNA". It matches the Rfam family "Bacterial small subunit ribosomal RNA", at positions 338 to 795 of the family's 1533-position model. The record is from RNAcentral.
CCUACGGGAGGCAGCAGUAGGGGAUAUUGCACAAUGGGGGAAACUCUGAUGCAGCGACGCCGCGUGAGGGAAGAAGGUUUUCGGAUUGUAAACUCCUUUUGUUAGGGAAGAUAAUGACGGUAUCUAACGAGUAAGCACCGGCUAACUACGUGCCAGCAGCCGCGGUAAUACGGAGGGUGCAAGCGUUACUCGGAAUCACUGGGCGUAAAGGGCGCGUAGGCGGGACAGCAAGUCAGAUGUGAAAUCCUACGGCUUAACCAUAGAACUGCAUUUGAAACUGUUAUUCUAGAGUAUGGGAGAGGUAGGUGGAAUUCUUGGUGUAGGGGUAAAAUGCGUAGAGAUCAAGAGGAAUACUCAUGGCGAAGGCGACCUGCUAGAACAUAACUGACGCUGAUGCGCGAAAGCGUGGGGAGCAAACAGGAUUAGAUACCCGUGUAGUC